UUGUGUCUGUUGUGGGUUGAACCGUAUCCUCCCCAAAUUCAUAUGUUGAGGCUGACUCCCAGUACCUCAGAAUGUGACAGUAUUUGGAGAUGGGAUCUUUAAAGAGGUGAUUAAGUUAAACAGAGGCCAUCAGGGUGGGCCCUAAUCCAAUCUGACUGGUGUCCUUAUAAAAAGAGGAAAUUCAGGCAGGUGAGGAGACACCAGGGACAUGUGAACACAGAGGGAACACCACAUGAGGACAAAGGGAGAAGGAGGCCAUCAGCAAGCCAGGAGAGAGCCUCAGAAGAAACCAACCCUGCUGACACCUUGACCAUGGCCUUCCAGCCUCCAGAACUGAAGGACAAUGUUACAGUCAACUGAUUCCCCAUGGAUGACAGCAGCUAUCUGUUAUAAAGACAAACAAUCCAAUUAGGACCGGCGUAGUUAAUGUAGAUGAAGAAGCAAAGGCUUGAAGUGUGUGUGAGUUAAGUAUUCCAGCGGCACUGGGCGAGAACAGACGAUAUAGGAGAAGCGAGCGGGUUUUUUAAGUUGCUUUUCUUCCCAGCCACCACUGGAGGAGCUCGGAGAGAAACAGCACGCCCGCUGCCUCUUUCUUAAGAAGAUAACACUGCCUGGGUGAUGCGUUGUUUCCCACAGUGACUCACUCAAGAUUGCUUUAGUUCAGCAAAUCGCAUCACAUCACGAAACAGUGACAUCUUUGAAGCCAGAGCUCAGGACUUCUCGAAGUGACACUCAAGAAAUGCACAAUGAGCCUCGUUUCCUGAAGAAGCUGAGAAAACAACUUAAAAACCAACAACACACAGUAACAUGAAAUUCUCGUUACAGCUGGCCUCUUUAGUCGCCGCUCCCCAGCUAGUUAAGCUCAAUGGAUUCUGUGCAGACCAUUCUCAGACUGAUUCACAGGACUGCUCUGACGGAAGUGUCUGCAUGUUACUUUGGCCAAUGUGGUAUCAGGAAUAUUACUAGGAAAUAAUGGGUGUUUACUUUGUACCGGAAUCUUGUCUAAUUGCUUCUCAUGCAUUUUCCCAUUUAAUCCUUUAUAAAAUAUGGUAAACUCUGUCUCAAUUAAGAAAUAAUUUGUGGGAUAGAUAUUAUUAUUAUUAUUAUUUCCACCAAUGCUGUUAAAUAAUUUGCUCAAGGUCACAAAUUAGGAGACGGAGCCGAGAAAUGAACCCAGAUAGUGUGACGAUAGAGUCUGUCCCGUUAGUCCCCAAUCCCGUUUCCUGCUGCUGCUGGGUGGGACACAAUAAGCAAGGUGAGAGGCAGGAGGAUGGGAGACCUGCAUUAAUGGAGAGCCUCCAAGGCCCUGGGCAUUCCACACGUGUGAAGAGGUGCCAGGUGUUCUCCAGGGUCUCACUCUGUCUCAACGCUAUUUCCAAUGAGCUUCAAGAGUUAGCCCUUCAUGAGCUUCCCCGAGAAAUCAGAUCAGCCCGGAACUUAUUUGGCCAGAGAAAGGAAUUACAUUGCACUUGAAAACCCACAUUUAGGAGCUCCCUGGCCCACCCCAUUGUCCCCCGUCCUGCCCCAGCUCUCUUAUUCAGCAGCACCGGCCUUUCUUCUGCUUGAACUCUGGGUACAACAGCUCUAAAGAGGCAUUUUCUCAGCAUAGCCGUCUUCUUCCUAUAAUGUAAUUCUCUCUCUUGCUAGCUGCUAAAAAGAUAAAAUUGUCUCCAAAUCCUAACAUAAAUGUCAUCUCAUUCAAUUUUUACAACUCCUUACGGGUAAGAAUUGUUCUCUCCAUUUUGUCCGUAAGGGAACUGAUGCUCAGGGAGGUUAAAGAAGCUGCUUCAGAUCACACAGCUACUAAGUGGCCAAGUGGCAGCUUGAAUCCCCUUCUCUCUGGCUUCAAAUCCAGGGCUAUUUCUCUCACACUAUACCUUAGGUAUUUCAAUCCAGGCUACAGCUUGACCUGGGAGCAGGUCAAACAUAACCUAGGAGCCAGUCUUCACUGGGACUGAACCAUAUUCUCUAGAAGUCAGGCCAGGAGGUUGGUCAAGGGCAGAAAAAGUCAACAGAGGGAAAGAACACUUUU
Long non-coding RNA from Equus caballus (horse), 2032 nucleotides. The record is from Ensembl. Lineage: Eukaryota; Metazoa; Chordata; Mammalia; Perissodactyla; Equidae.